UGAGGAUAUUUGCACUGGAGCCAUUUUGUUGUAUUUAAUUUGUGAAAAUUACUAAAAAACAAAAUCUAAAAUGUCCAUUCUGUGUCUUUGAAUAUAUCACCUUUUAUUAAUAAGCACUGUUUUAUAGAUGGUCUUUUUUUUUUUUAACUUCAUCACAUUUAUCAAAAGGUUUAUUUCAUUAGAAUGUUCCUUUUUCACUAUGUUUAAUAAUGCAUGGGCAGCUUGCAGUUAAGCUACUGACAAUCUUAUAUUUCUUUUUUUUCAGGUGGCUGCUGCUUCAACCCAGAGACAAGCAAGGAUGGUUUACAACUUUUUGAAACUGAGACCGUUCUUUCUUUGGAGAUGAGAAAAUGUAAAACCAAAGCUGACCCAGCCUCCAUCACUAAAAGUUUUCUGAGUAGUUACUUUGCUACUCAUGGGUACGAUACACUUCCAGAGGCUGUCUUACCAAGCCAGAUAAGCAGUAAAGUGACAGUUACACAGAACUGAUCAUUGAAUUGAACAUGCUGGAAAGUACAGGAAAGUAAAGAUUUAAUUUUACUUACAGCCUAUUACAUACAAAUACACAUUUAAUUAAUAUUUCAG
Astatotilapia calliptera (eastern happy) is the source of this 585-nucleotide long non-coding RNA. NCBI's taxonomy places the organism in Eukaryota, Metazoa, Chordata, Actinopteri, Cichliformes, Cichlidae. The record is from Ensembl.